RNAcentral lists this ribosomal RNA (662 nucleotides) under uncultured fungus. RNAcentral describes it as "eukaryotic LSU rRNA". It matches the Rfam family "Eukaryotic large subunit ribosomal RNA", at positions 24 to 664 of the family's 3401-position model. Lineage: Eukaryota; Fungi. The record is from RNAcentral.
CCCGCUGAACUUAAGCAUAUCAAUAAGCGGAGGAAAAGAAACUAACAAGGAUUCCCCUAGUAACUGCGAGUGAAGCGGGAAAAGCUCAAAUUUAAAAUCUGGCGGUCCUCUGGGCCGUCCGAGUUGUAAUCUGGAGAAGCGUUUUCCGCGUCGGACCGUGUACAAGUCUUCUGGAACGGAGCGUCAUAGAGGGUGAGAAUCCCGUCUCUGACACGGACCGCCGAUGCUUUAUGUGAUACGCUCUCGAAGAGUCGAGUUGUUUGGGAAUGCAGCUCAAAAUGGGUGGUAAAUUCCAUCUAAAGCUAAAUAUUGGCGAGAGACCGAUAGCGAACAAGUACCGCGAGGGAAAGAUGAAAAGAACUUUGGAAAGAGAGUUAAACAGUACGUGAAAUUGCUGAAAGGGAAACGCUUGAAGUCAGUCGCGUUGGCCAGGGAUCAGCCUCGCUCUUGCGUGGUGUACUUUCUGGUUGACGGGUCAGCAUCAAUUUUGACUGCUGGAAAAAGGCUUGAGGAAUGUGGCAGCUUCGGCUGUGUUAUAGCUUCUUGUCAUAUACAGCGGUUGGGAUUGAGGAACUCAGCACGCCGCAAGGCCGGGUCGUUCGACCACGUUCGUGCUUAGGAUGCUGGCAUAAUGGCUUUAAGCGACCCGUCUUGAAACACGG